AACGCACCUUGCACUCUUUGGUAUUCCGAAGAGUAUGCCUGUUUGAGUGUCGUGAAACUCUCAACCCCCCUAUUUUGUAAUGAGAUAGGUUGUGGGCUUGGAUUAUGGUUGUCUGUCGGACCUCUUUACUGAGCCGGCUCAGCUGAAAUAUACGAGCGACCCAAUCUUCAUAUGGAUGUAACGACGGCUUGACUCGGCGUAAUAAUACUUUUCGCUGAGGACGUUGUAGCUUUCCAGCUUGACAAUUGACGCUUCUAAUGCGACUUUAAUUAGUCAUUUACACUCUAGACCUCAAAUCAGGCAGGACUACCCGCUGAACUUAA
RNAcentral lists this unclassified non-coding RNA (323 nucleotides) under uncultured fungus. RNAcentral's name for it is "partial contains 5.8S ribosomal RNA, internal transcribed spacer 2, and large subunit ribosomal RNA". The stretch from base 1 to 52 matches the Rfam family "5.8S ribosomal RNA", at positions 103 to 154 of the family's 154-position model. Lineage: Eukaryota; Fungi. The record is from RNAcentral. RNAcentral also lists the same sequence under 1 other name.